Molecule: non-coding RNA, 1194 nt
Organism: Cricetulus griseus (Chinese hamster)
Lineage: Eukaryota; Metazoa; Chordata; Mammalia; Rodentia; Cricetidae
Source: RefSeq, a predicted model, not a curated record
UCAUAACAGAGAGACAGGCCAUUUGCUGGCACCACCCUGUUUCCUCCAAGAAGACUGGACACUGAAGAAACUCCACCCACAAAGGUUGUAAUGCUAGCCACUGCCUUUCACAUCAACUGCUGCAAAGGACUCUUUGGACCAUGGACAAGAGAACAGUGGAAUUGACUUUCUCCAUGUAGCUUGGGCCAAGCUCCUACUCCACAGGUCCCAUGCUAUCAGCAGAAGGUGGGCAUCCUUAAAGCUUCUGACCUCAACAACUAUGGAGGGGGCUGUCCAUGUGGCCAGCUAGGAAGUCUCUGUUCUCUAAUCAUUAAUGCAGGUAAAAUUUCAUCCUUCUCAAGAACUCUGAUGUAGUUUGAUGGCUGGUAGGUUUCAGUGUAGCUCUUGUCAUUCCUUUGUUUAAACAAACGUUUUAAGGUAUAACAAAGUAACUUAAGGUAUACAAAUGCAAGUUAUCAGAUUUCUUUCUUUCUCAUUAUGCUACUGUUCAUAGUUUAACAUUAGUCAACAAAGUUCUGAUAAGCUACGAAUCCAACUCUGACAGAGUACUAAACACCAUACUAUACCACUAUACAAUCAUAACUGCAAGCUCAAAAUUAAGGUGCUUUUCAUUGGGCUAAAGAUAUCUGUCAGUUUUAAGAACAUUAAUGGUUUCAACCAAAUCAUUUCUGACAUGAGUAUACUGCUAAUAUGUCUAAAAUUUAUGUUUUCAUAAACUCAAAGGAGUCUUGCAAGUUCCAGGGAGCUGAAUUGAACCCACCCAAACAGGUCUUAAGAGGUGCCAUAGAGUUCCAUAGAGCCUGAACUGUGAUGAAACACCCAGCUACACCAGGACAUGGCAGCACCCCAGCUUUCUCAGGUCCCCCAAAGAUGGCCGAUGCCCCCAGGUUUACAAAGUACCCCCAAAGACUGGAGAAAGAGGAGAAGAAAGAGAGGAACAGGAAAAGGGAAAGAAGAGAAGGGGGAGGAGAAGGGGGAAAAGGAGAAGUCUCACUGUGAGGCCCAUGCUGACCUUGAACUCAUGCUCUCCCUGCCUUUUUCUCUUGAGUGCUGGGAUUACUGCUAUACCACCACACUGCAAAUUAGAUAUUUUGAUCAACCCUCUGCUUUAUCGUCUCUGCUCUGCCUCACCAAAGCUCUUUCCUUUGUGGUAAGGGUCAGAAGGGUUGCCUGUGUCUUUCUAUUAAAAUUCAU